RNAcentral lists this long non-coding RNA (36484 nucleotides) under Triticum aestivum (bread wheat). Its description in RNAcentral is "long non-coding RNA (TAES_LNC010401)". Lineage: Eukaryota; Viridiplantae; Streptophyta; Magnoliopsida; Poales; Poaceae. The record is from RNAcentral.
UUUUUUUUUUCAGGUUGUCAUUUUCUGAAGAAAAAAAAACAUAAGUUCAAGUCAGGACAAUGAAAAGUAGAUCUAGAAAAGAAAAAGAAAAUGGUAACGAAAUCAUUACCAAACAUAUAGUACUCUUUGAGAUAUACUCCUCAUGAUCAAGUUUAUAAGUCAAUAUCAAGUGAUACCACCAGUUACAUACUCCCAUGAUAACAACCUGAAAAGGUUAAAUUUAAUAAACACUACAAAAAGUUCCAUAAAAAAAUUGUGAAUGUUCAUAACACAUGUGUCUACAACUCCUAAAAAGAUCAGAACGAAAUUCAAAGUACAUAUAAAGGAAAGAAAAGGAAAAAUUCAGCAUCAACAGUGUCAAUAAAAACAAAAGCAUGGAUAGUAUUAAAAAAACUACAGUGUUCACAUCUUUUUGAGGAAAGGCCAUCAUGGCUAGCUUUAUUGAAAUCAAAUAAUAGAUACAUCGUCUACGAGCUUGCUGACCAACACGUCAGGGGGCUCGUUCAUCCAAACCAACGAGAUCUUAUUACAAUAACUAUAGUUUGCUAGCACAUGCGCUGCUUGAUUCGAUGAUCGAUAACAAUGUUUAUAGAUGACCUUCCCAAUUAAUGUAGCCGUGUCCACACACUCCGUGAAAAUUGUUGCCGCUGCGUCCCACCAUCUCGACUGACCGGUACAAAAGUUGAUGACUUGCGUAGAAUCAGACUCAGCUUCCAAUUGAUUGAACCCAAGAGAAUUAGCUAGUUUAAGACCAUCCCUCAUGACCAUAGCUUCAGUUGUGACAACAUCAGCAGCAAACGGAAUAAAUUUGCAAGUAGCCGCAAUAAAAUUACCUUUUUCAUCUCAUAUUAUCGCUGAUGUUGCUCCCAUUCCUUCAUCCUGAUAGUACGCCGCAUCUACUUUCACUUUCACAAAUUUGGGGUUGGGUUUAACCCAUUUAUAUUCCUGAGGCCUGAAGGUUUUGGUAAAUGCCUUCUCAUAAUUGCUUGCAAUGGCCAGUACAGAGAUCGGCCAUCGGACUAUCGGAGGGACAGAUUCAUUAUGUGUAAUACGCCUUCUUAUCCACCAUAAGUACCAGCAGGCGACCGCGAUUACCUGCUUAAAAUUCAGACUUGGUUCAAGGAUUUGGGGACUAUCCGGCAUUAGAAACAAAUAUUCCAAGAUCGCUGAACCGGAUCUAUCAACAACACUGGCAUGGUCAAUUAUCUCAGACAUCCUCAAGCAUCGCCACAUCUCCUUAGCAUGCAGACAAGUGAAAAGCAGGUGGCAGAGAUCCUCGGCACCUUGGUGGCAUAUCGGACAUGCUCCAUUGGUCCCUGUAUGCCUAUUCAUUAGUAUUGACUUUAGAGGGAUUAUUCCAUGCAAUACACGCCAGCAAAAGAUCUGAACUUUACGAGGAAUAUUUAAUUUCCAGAGUAUACUCCAUAUUGCCAAAGGGGUAGAGCCACUCGGGACUGAAUUAAUAUUUGUAUGUUCUCUGAAGGUAUACAUCCACUAUAUUUUAGACGCACUUCGGACAGAAAAAGUUCCAGUUUUAUUUGCAUGCCAUGCGAUAAAAUCAUCAAAAGCUUGGCGGUUUAGCGGGAUUUGUAAGAUCCUUCGCACAUCCACGAGAUUGAAGAUAUUAGUGAGCAGUUCCUCGUCCCAGAUUCCAGUAUUUGGGUCGAUGAGAUCACUAACCUGUGAUAAAACUGUUUGGCCACGGGGUGUAAUUAUUUUCCUGUCUGGGCUAGCCGGAAUCCAUGGAUCACACCAGAUGUUUACAGUCUCACCCGAUCCAAUUCUCCAGAUGUAACCCUUCUUAAAAGUUUCUAGACCUUUCAAGAUACUUUGCCAAGUGAAAGACACCCCCUGUUUCGGUGUAGCUCGUAGCAAACUCCCAUUUGGAUAAUAUUUAGCUUUCAAAACCCGAGCACAGAGGGAGUCUGGGUCUGUGAUUAAUCUCCAACAUUGUUUAGCCAACAUGGCUAAGUUAAAAGAAUAAAGGUCCCGAAAACCCAUACCACCUUCGCUCUUUGGAAAACAGAGUUUCCACCAUGAAUACCAGUGCAUCUUUCUAUUCUCUUCAUCAUCACCCCACCAGAAUUGAGCUAUUACAUCUGUGAUAUCCUUGCAAACACCCUUAGGUAAACAGAAAACUGACAUAGCAAAAACAGGGAUGGCUUGGGCCACCGCCUUAAGUAGAAUCUCUUUACCUCCAGUGGAUAACUGUUUCUCCAUCCAGCCGAUCAAUCUAGCUUUGAUUCUUUCUCGAAAGUGUUUGAAGCAAUCACUUCUGUCUGCAUCCACAAUAGCAGGUAGGCCAAGAUAUCUAUCUGAUAGUGCUUCAGUUACAAUAUGUAAAAUUUCACAAACUUCAGUUCUGGUUACCACAGGUGUAUUUGGGCUAAAGAAAAUACUUGAUUUUGAUAAGCUCACCAUCUGACCUGAACUUUGGCAAUAAGUGUCUAGUACAUGCUGUAAGGAAGUUGCAUUUAGGACAUCCGCUUCCAUGAGAAUUAGAGAAUCAUCAGCAAAUAAAAGGUGUGAGACUGAUGGUGCAUUUCUGCACACUCUAACCCCAUCAAGGCCACCAACUUCUUUUUCAAACUACAACAUACUAGAGAGACCUUCUGCACAAAUGAGGAAAAGAUAUGGGGAUAGGGGAUCCCCUUGUCUAAUGCCUCUAGAUGGAACAAACAUAUCUGUUUCUUGAGAGUUAAAACAAAUCUUAUAUCUCACAGAGCUUACACAUGCCAUAACCAUAUCAAUCCAUUGCUCAUGGAACCCAAGUUUUUCCAUCAUACUUCGAAGAAAAAUCCAUUCAACCCGAUCAUAAGCCUUAUGCAUAUCCAACUUCACAGCACAUAACCCAGUUUGUCCAGCUCUCUUAUUCUUAAUCUUAUGCACACAUUCGUAAGCGAUAAGAACAUUAUCAGUAAUAAGCCUGCCAGGCACAAAUGCACUUUGUGUAGGAGAAAUGAUUUCUGGCAAAAUACUCUUUAACCUCCCUGCAAGCAUCUUAGAUAUGAUUUUAUAUAAUACAUUGCAUAAGCUAAUUGGUCUAUAUUAAGUUAUCAUCUCCGGAUUGUCAACCUUGGGUAUAAGAACGACUGAGGUGUCAUUCCAUUCAGCUGGGAUCUGUUUUGAGUUGAUGGCUAAUAAAACCUCUUGUGUAAUCUCAUCACCCAAAACAUGCCAGAACUUCUUAAAAAAUAUUGCAUGUAGACCAUCAGGCCUGGUGCCUUUAGGUCCCCUAUACUGAACACUGCCUUUUUCACAUCAUCUGCUGUGAAUGGAGCAAGUAACAUGUUAUUCAUUUGAACUGAAACUUUAGUUUGCACCUUAUCAAUGAUCUCAUGAUUAACCUGCUGCACCUCAUUGGUAAAUAGAUUAGCAAAAUAAUUCUGUAUGUGUGAGUUGAGAUCAGCCAUACCUUCCACUAAAUCACCAUUUCCAUCUUUAAGUUUUUUAAUCAUAUUUUUCUUUCUCCUCACCGAAGCAAAGGCCUGGAAAAACCUUGUGUUUCGGUCCCCAUUCUUCAACCAAGUAGCCCUUGAUCGCUGAAGAUGAUGGAUUUCUUCUAUUUCCAGUAGGUAUUCGACCAACUCGGCUAAUUCUUUCCUCUUGAUCUCUGUUUCAUCAUUUAUAGGGCCCAUCAUAAUUUUUUCCAACUCUCUCUGCACCUUCUUUAACCUUUUCUUGGGUUUCUUAAGUACUCGUUGGUCCCAGUCAUGAAACAGGCUAUGCAUCUGACUUAACUUGCUAUGGAUAUUCUGUGCAUUAGGGUCAGCGCCCACUUUGUUCCAAGCUUCCAGUACCGUAUCACUGAAUUCUUUUUCAUGCAGCCAUCUUGCUUCGAAUCUUUUCACCCCCGCUGCUACGUUUAUGUUCUGCACAUAAAACUCUGUAUCCACUAGAAGAGGCCGAUGAUCAGAGUGAUUAUAGUAUUUAUUCUCGAGUGCUACAUGGGGGUAUAACUGUGACCAUGACUCAUUAAUGAGCCCUCUAUCCAGUCUUUCUCUAAUUCUGCCCCUCUGCCAUGUGUAACCAUCACCUACAUAUCCCAUGUCUCUGAGAUCACAGUCAUCUAUAGCCUGCUGAAAUGCUUGCAUAUAUUGUGGAGGUCGUGGGUUCCCUCCUUCCUUUUCACUUAGAUUUUGUAUUUCAUUCAGGUCUCCAAUCAACAACCAGGGGAGAUUCUGACUCUGAUGUAAUGAUCUCAUAUGGUCCCAAGUUUUAUAUUUGUUCUCCCAACGAAAUUCGCCAUACAUACCAGUCAAUCUCCAAAUACUGUUAUUACUUUCCUCUAUUGUCACAUCAAUGAACAUUGGGUCUAAGUCCAGUCUAUUUACUUUAACCUCUUUCUUCCAAAGCAAUAGCAAGCCACCUUUCCUACCGUCACUUGGACAUACAAACUUUUGAUCCAUUUUUAAUUUUCUCCUUAAACACUCUGCCGGAUAGCUGUCAAGGUGUGUCUCCGACAAAAACAUCACAUCGGGAUUGUAACUUCGCUGGACCUCCAGCAAAGCACGAACUGCCGGGGCAUUCCCGAGCCCCCGACAGUUCCACGCUAGUAGUUUCAUUGAUCCCGGCGAUCACCCUCGAGGGGCGUCGCCGAUCCUGAAUUAACUGUACUAUUUGGGUUAGUGUCCACAGCCUGACCAUCUAUUCCCCUAAGCUUCUUUCUGCUCGCGUUCUUUUGGGGUGUACCUGAUACUGAUAGUGAGAGACUUUUUUCCUCCCCAUCUAUUUCUCCUUCAAAAAGAUUUACUUUUUCCGCUACUGUUACUGAUUCUGGCUCCUUGGCAGCCUUGGUAGCUACAAACGGGAUAAGAGUUGUUUGAUCAGUUUCAGUGUUACCAGUCACGACCAGGGGAGCCCUUGAGUUACUGUCAACCGCAAUCCUUUUCCCUAAGAUGUUAUCUGAUGUUGUGGUCAUUCGCAAGUCCCGAUCUUCAGGAUCUGUGAUGGUAUCCCCUUCAUUUGAUCCUCCGGGGACUACAUCUGUAGCAUGGACAUAAUUGUGUCGCCAAAUUACAGGGCCAGACCCUUCAUUGUUCGGUUCAGUAGGGUGAUAAUAAGAAUUGUUUCCACUUCCUCGACCAUUACCACGGCCAAAACCUCGCCCGCGGGUAGUAUAAUCAUCCCCGCUUCCCUGUCGAUCACCUGUCCCACGCCCUCCACGACCGCCUCCUCUGCCUCUCCAGGGAGCUAGCAGGAAAUUUCCCCAUUCAAACUUUGAUUUAUCGUGUUCUCCCGUCCCGCAUUCUUCAUGCCAAUGUCCCAUCAAACCACAAGCAUGACAGAAGGUCGGCAGUUUCUCAAAUUUCACAAGAUACUUUUCUGUUUCUCCUCCCUUUGUAAUACCAACAGCUCUAGUCAGUUUUUUGUUUACAUCAAGUUUCACUCUAACCCUUAUAAACUCCCCGAUGAAACCAUUUGGUAGUGUUACCUGUACCUCUGUAACGCCCCGAGACUGAUGUGCCAGGUGUCCUCCAGUUAUUCGCAGUCUUUGCCAUGUCAUUUGCUUGCGUGUCGCAUCUUGUCAUGUCAUCAUGUGCAUUGCAUCAUCAUGUUUUCAAAACUUGCAUCCGUCCCGGCCUCCUCGUUCUCUCCGUUGUCCGUUCUGAGCCCAGACACACUUGCACGCGCCCGCGACAUGUCCGAAAUAGUAUUUUAUAAGUGGCUGGAAAAUGUUCUCGGUAUGGGAUGAGAGUUGACGUGUGGUCUUAUUAUGGUGUAGAUAGACCGCCUGUCAAGUUUCAUCACAUUCGAAGAUUGUUUGAUGCCCCAACGGAUAACUAUAGCGGCAGUAUAGCCGGUCUAACGUCGGACAUUUUCGGUCUCCGGAAACAGUUGCCGGGCUGCACUCCUUCCCUUUCAUCUCAGCCCAACCUCCUCUUCACAGCCCACCAAACCCCACUCCGACCGGAGCCAUCGGAUCGCGAUCGGAGGGUCCGAAAACCCCCCUAAAUCCCCUAACCCUAGCUCUUUUGCUAUAUAUGGAUACCUCCUUGUCCAUUUCAGGCAACCUAGCCUCCCCCUACCCUCAGCCGCCACCUCCCACCUCGUUUUCAGCACCGGCCGCCCCUUCUCCGCCACUUUGGCACCGUCCCUGAGGGUAGAAGCCGCCAGCGCCACCGCUCCUGGCCAUCCAUGAUGCGCCACGUCACCCCUCCAGCGCCCCCAUCCACCGCGGCCCGCUCAGGCCCGUGCGGGGCCCGCCCGAGCCCAUCCAGGGCCUGAGCGCCUCCCGCUUCCUCGCUCCCGAUCUGGUUCGAGGGGAGGAGCCCCGUGAUCCAGAACCCCGCCGCCGUCUCGAUUUGCCUCGCUUUGCCGGCCACCUGAGACGCCGCCGACGAGCACCAGCAGGCCGUUCCCGCCGCCCUGCUCCUUCCCCAUCUCCUUUCUCCCUUGCUCUUCCUCUACUCUAAGCCAUGCACUGCCGCCAUUUUUGCAGGAUCCACCGCCGAGCUCGUCGCCGGCCUCCUCAGCCUCGCCCGUCACCGUUGACCGCGUCCGGUGCCGGAUCCGAGCUCCCCACGUGCCGAUUUGCUCGUUCCCGGCCUUCCCCGCCUUGUCCCGUCGACGUCCUCGCCAGACCACCGCCGCCGCCACGCCUGUUCCCGCCUCUGCUUCGAGUAGGAGGAGCUCGCCCGUCACCGUUGACCGCGUCCGCAUGGGCUGCGUCUCCGCGGCCCAGAUCCGCCGACCCACCACCCUGCUCCCCCUUCAGCCUGUUGGCCCGAUGUGAGCAGCCCCUCCAGCGCCUCCCCUAUGCACUUCUGGGCCUGCUAGUUUCGGCCCAUGGCAUGUUUUUUUCCGUUCUACGAUUUGUCCAUUUAUCCAGAGAUAACCAGUUUUACAGGAAGCCCCCUAGACUUCAUGCAUUUAAUAACUCCACAACCAUGCAUCGGAUCUAAAUAAAUUAUAUAUGAAACUUGCUUAGAAUUUCAUCUAGUUUCAUAAUAUGCAACUUUCAUCCAUGUUUAACAUGUUUAAAAUGCUGUUUGUUUAAUUUUGCUUAAAUGACUUGCUAAAAUGCUUUAAUUCGUAACUAAAUAACCGUAACUCGGAAUCUAACAAACUUUAUAUGCAAAUGGGGUGGAAUUUUGCCUAGUUUAACAUGGUGUACUUGUUUUGCAUGUUUAAUAACUCUAAAAUUGUGUUUAGGGCAGAACAGUACCAAACCUAAUAUAAGCACAUGAGGAUUUAUCGGAAUUGUUGUUCGUUGCUUCCGGCCUCUUUUAAACUUGACUAGAUAGGUAGUUUUGUUAUGCUUCACCUCUUGCCAUGUUAACCAACAUUUAAUAUUGUUGUGUACUUAAACGGGAGAGAACUAAAUAAUUGAUGUGGUGUUUUGUCAAUAUGCAUCCCGAUGCAUAUUGAGCUCCACCUAAUUUGUAGGAUUGCUUGUGCACUUUGCCAUGCCAUGCCUCUUUAAACCGGACAUGCAUCAUACUUGUUUGCGCAUCGUGCCAUGAUUAUGUGGUGGUUGUUUACUAUGUUGUUUGCUUCUUUCCGGUGUACUUCUUCUUGGUAAUCCGGUAACGUCGCGUUUGUGAGGACCCGUUCGACUACGUCCGUUUGUCUUCUUCAUGGACUCGUUCUUCUUCCUUGCGGGAUUUCAGGCAAGAUGAUCAUACCCUCGAAAUCACUUCUAUCUUUGCUUUGCUAAAUGCUCGCUCUUUUGCUAUGCCAUGCUACGAUGCCUACCACUUGCUUUCAAGCCUCCCAAAUUGCCAUGUCAAACCUCUAACCCACCAUGUCCUAGCAAACCGUUGAUUGGCUAUGUUACCGCUUUGCUCAGCCCCUCUUAUAGCGUUGUUAGUUGCAGGUGAAGAUUGAAGUUUGUACCUUGUUGGAACAUGGAGAUGUUGUUCCUUGUUGGAACAUGUUUACUUGUUGGGAUAUCACAUUAUAUCUUAUUUAAUUAAUGUAUCUAUAUACUGGGUAAAGGGUGGAAGGCUCGGCCUUAUGCCUAGUGUUUUAUUCCACUCUUGCCGCCCUAGUUUCCGUCAUAUCGGUGUUAUGUUCCUGGAUUUUGCGUUCCUUACGCGGUUGGGUAAUAAUGGGAACCCCUUGACAGUUUGCCUUGAGUAAAGCUCUUCCAGCAAUGCCCAACAUUGGUUUUACCAUUCGCCACCUAGCCUUUUCUUUUCCCUUGGGGGUCACGCGCCCAAGGGUCAUCAUUAUUUUACCCCCCCCCCGGGCCAAUGCUCCUCUGAGUGUUGGUCCAACUGAGCGAUGUCCGGGGCUAUCAGGGGCAACUCUGGGCUGGCCUACCCGACGUCUGGCUCAUCUGAGUGUGCCCUGAGAAAGAGAUAUGUGCAGCUCCUAUCGGGUUUUGUCGGCACAUUCGGGCGGUGUUGCUGGUUUAGUUUUACCCCGUCGAAAUGUCUUAUUGUACCGGGAUACCGAGUCUGAUCGGAAUGUCUCGGGAGGAGGUAUAUUCCUUCGUUGACCGUGAGAGCUUGUGAUGGGCUAAGUUGGGACUCCCCUGCAGGGAUUUGAACUUUCGAAAGCCGUGCCCGCGGUUAUGGGCAAAUGGGAAUUUGUUAAUGUCCGGUUGUAGAUAACUUGAACCUUAACUUAAUUAAAAUGAAUCAACUGCGUGUAACCGUGAUGGUCUCUUCUCGGUGGAGUCCGGGAAGUGAACACGGUGUUGGAGUUAUGCUUGACGUAGGUUGUUCUAGGAUCACUUCUUGAUCAUACUUUUAUCGACCGUGCUUUGCCUUCUCUUCUCGCUCUCAUUUGCGUAUGUUAGCCACCAUAUAUGCUAGUCGCUUGCUGCAGCUCCACCUCAUACCUUUACCUUACCCAUAAGCUUAAAUAGUCUUGAUCGCUAGGGUGCGAGAUUGCUGAGUCCCCGUGGCUCACAGAUACUUCCAAACCAGCUUGCAGGUGCCGAUGAGACCAUGCAGAUGACGCAACCAAGCUCAGGAGGAGCUCGAUGAAGAUCUUGUCCUUUGUGUUGUUUCGUUCUAGUUGAUCAGUAGUGGAGCCCAGUUGGGGUCGAUCGGGGACCUUGUCGCAUUUGGGGUCCUUCUUUUAUUUUGGUUCCGUAGUCGGACCUUGAUUGUAUUUGGGAUGAUGUAAUGCUUUAUUCAUGUAUUGUGUGAGGUGGCGAUUGUAAGCCAACUAUGUAUCUUUUUCCUUAUGUAUUACAUGGGUUGUGUGAAGAUUACCUCAUUUGCGACAUUGCUUUCAAUGCGGUUUUGCCUUUAAGUCGUGCUUCGACACGUGGGAGAUAUAGCCGCAUCGAGGGCGUUACAAGUUGGUAUCAGAGCCUUCCCCGACCUUAGGAGCCCCAUUGCUUGAUCGUUUUUAGCAGCCGAGUUGUGUCUUGAAAAAAAUGUUUUGAGUCAUUUAGGAAUUAUAUAUCGGAGAGUUUAGGAAUUCUUUUUACUUCCCAGUCUCCUCAUCGCUCUGGUAAGGCAUCCUGACGUAGAGUUUUGACUCUUCUCUUCUCAAAUUUCACUAAAAAAUCUUUUAGGAUCACGCGGGUAUCUUGGAAUCGUUCCGAUGGUUUUGUGACGAGAACAUUGUCUUGGUGCCUCCUGUCAGGGGUUUUGUGGAAGUGUCCCGGGGAGUUGAGCUCUGAGGUGUUGUCGUCAUAAUUUUAUCGUUGCAGUUCUGGAAUACCUGAGUUUAGUACGUCGACAUCAAAAAUCUCUUUUAUGCAGUUCGUUGGUGAGAUAACCUCGACGCCACCCAGUACUGGGGCGGGAGUUCGGGAGUAUCCCAUAACUUGUAUAACGGAUGCUUUUCGAAGGUUGAGGUAGAUGAUUUCCGAAGGUUUCUUGGUUAUGUGUUGAAGGAUGGAUACAGCUGGAUGUAGGAUUUGCUAGUUUUGGGUGAGAUAUUAUGCUUCCCCUGUAUCCCCAACACCUGAUUGCAUAACCGGAAAAAUUUCGGGAGUUCAUAGGUGGGAAUUCAAGUAGCUCUUAGGAUAUCUUCCGACAGAUGUAUGAUAUGAAAUUGGGGUUCAACGUCUAGUGGUCCGCCUAUUCACGGUCGGUUUUACAGUGGUCUCGUUGUGUCUUAAAGAGUCCUUGGCUAUGCCGACUCGGGGACGCUUCGUAUGUCAUGUGCACUACCUUGUACAUGAUGGUGCUGUACGAUCGAGCCCGUGUAGGCCCCACCACAAAAACUUCGGACGAAAUCUCUAUCAUAUGUUUGUUCCGGCUUAUUCUGCAAGCCAAUCCAUUGUUUUAUUUUGAGUUGUGGUAUUCGAGUUGCUUCAAUGUCAAGUGUUGAUUCCAUACCUUUCCUAAGCGGUGUUCUCAUAUUCCUAUGGGAAUACUAAUCCUCCUUGAUGAUCGAGUGUGUCAUCUUAAUUUCUUUUCAACCGGUGUGUUUCUCUUCUAGUGGAUCCGAUCACUUCAACAUUCGCAAGAUCAAUUAUCAGUUCUUAUCAACGGUGUUUGCUUCAUCCGUUCCAAGUUGUCUUUGUUUUCCCACCCUCCCACCCUUUUUAUUCAAGGACUCAGAUUUCUUAAUCGAGUAUCCAUCUUAUUGAUGUGAAGCCUCUCUAUUCUUUUCCUUCAAUGUUCUUAUCCGGUGAUUCUCAUGAAGAUACUAACGGAACUUCUAGUUUAUCAUUCCUUGUUCUUUUAUCUUCUCCGGUGGAUUCAAUUCAAGCUUUCGAUGUUUGAUCAUAUUCUUUUCUGUAUUUCAAUGCUUUCUCAUGCCGGUGCAAUUCUUAAUCGUUCAUCUCUCGCUAUUCUAUUGUCCCGGAGUGCUCAAGAUAUCUCAAAAGGCUCGUCUUGUCUUUCAAGAUCAGUUCAACCUAUUUCGAGGUUGUUAUCUCAUUCAAGCCAUUUAAUUCAACCGGCGCAAUCUAUCUUUUAAAUCAUUCAACAGUGUUUUCUUUUGAGUGGGCCCUAACCCACAGGUCUUUUCCCAAGAUCUUACCUGAGUCUUCUAAUUUUUUCCCGGAGUUACUCACAAAUUCUUUUCGAAGUUUGAUGUAAGAAUGAUUCAUCAUCAGUCAUAUGUAUUUCGCCAAGUUCUUUCAAAUUCUUUUCAUCAUUGGCUCGACCUUUUCCAAUUUUAAUUCCGGAGUGUCUCAAUAAUUCAUGGUGGUGUCUCUCAUCGUCAUUCUCUGUAUUUGAAGACCGAAGAAGAUUUUCCUCUCAAUCUUGCUCCAUUCUCUUCAUGAUUCGUGAUUCUAGCUUGUUGCCUUUCUCUCAUAAUUGUUCAAUUGUGAGAAUUCUUUUUAUCCAUCCGAAGCAAUUCAGGAGCCUUUUCAGUUUGUUUCUCUGGAGCCCAUCAUCUCAAAUUAUUCAUGUCAGCUUUCAACUAGCAUUCACCAAAUCUCACCGGUGCAUCAUUCAAUAUUCUUUAAUCAGCGCGUGAUCUCUUCAGUUGUAUCUAAAUUCUCUUAAGCAUCUUCAUUCAUUUGCUAAUUCUUCCCGGUGUUUUCUUUAUCUUCUCGUCGUUCAUUUUUAAUUCUUACGGUGGGUCGUUCAAGAUUCUCUUCUUUCGUUUAUCAUAUCAAUUUAUUUGUUAUUUCUAUCCUACCGGUGGUUCGUCUAAUAUUUUCUCAAGUUUGCGCUAUAUCUAUCUUAAUCCUUUCUACAGAAUAAGUAGUAUGCCAAAUCCGUGGCUUAUCAUCAAUUAAAUUGGCGAAGGUUAUGCAUAAUGUAAUUCUUAUUCUUGUUUCAUCCAUAUGUUAAUCUUUUCUUCCGGAGUUUGUUCACGAUGAUUAAAUUCUUGGUUUCAAGUGCUCAUCUUUCUUUUCCUGGAGUUCCAAGCUCUCUCAAUUAUCUCGUCGCGUAGCUCCAUCUAAAUCAUUGCAAGGAUUUCACCUUGUGUUUUCGACCUCUCUUUCCUUCCGUUUGAUCAUUUCUUUUAUUACCGGAGUUCUUCAUGAAGGUUCUUUCAUGAUGGUUCAUCAAGGAUUUAUUUUCCUUUUCGAAGUGUUCAUCUACAUUCUUUUCUAAGGAGCUUAAGUUUCUUCAUCUUGCAAUCCGGAGUGCAAUUCUUUUCUUCUGUAUCAUUUGAGGUGGUAUUAUGUCAUUCUUGAUAAUUUGAGUUCAUGUUUUCUUGAUUCACAUGUUGUCAAGAAUGAGAUAUUUUAAAUCCAUCAAUCUCGUCAUUGGAGUUAUCUUGGGUUAUAUUUCACCUAAAAACUUUCCCUAAGGAUUGUUGUUAAUUAUGGUGCUUAUAAUUGACCCAAGUUCUUCUUUUAUCCUCCCGGUGAAUUAAGUUUCUCAUCUCCUUGUUUGAUAUCAAUCCAAUCUAUCGGUUCCGUUAGUGGCAGAAUUUCACCUCAUAGUUUUGAGAUGUUUUCCAUAAGCCCACUACUACCUUGCUCUUUUCGUUAUUGGUUUUUCCAACAACUCCGUUCGACCCUUCGCCUAAAGAUGUCUUUUCAAGCUCUUUUGGGGCAGAAGUUGGCAUUUUCUUCUCCAUUCUUGUAUUUCAACCUUCUAUUCUUUUUGUUCCGGAGGCAUUGUGUGUUGCUCCUUCCGUUCCAUCACCUCAUUUUGACAAGAUCAUAUUCUUUUCAUACCCACCCAUUUAACCGGAGUGUUGUGCCAUUUUGCUCAAGUUCUUUUCGCCUUAUCAAGCCUUUCAUCUCUGUUCAACCGGAGUGCUGUCUGAGAUCUUUCUUACCCCUUGUUACAUUCAUUCAAUAGUUCCGGAGGCAGUGUGUCGUGAUUUCAUCAAGCAUCUUCUCACCUUACCAAGUUCUUAUUCAAUUCCUUUUCUUUUCAAUCGGAGUGCUGCCCGAAUUUGUUCUUCCUUGUUCCUUUUCCUAACAGAGUGCUUUCAACUUCGUUCAUUCUCGUUGAUUCUUUCUUUCAAUUGUUCAACCUCUCAAGGUUCUUUGGUUUCACUCAUUGGUCAAAGAAGCAACUUAGUUUUACCUCUUCUCGUUCUAUUCUGUUGUUCCUCCAGUGCCAUUCUAGAUCUCGGGACGAGAUCCUCUCGUAGUGGUGGAGUGUUGUAACGCCCCGAGACUGAUGUGCCAGGUGUCUUCCAGUUAUUCGCAGUCGUUGACAUGUCAUUUGCUUGCGUGUCGCAUCUUGUCAUGUCAUCAUGUGCAUUGCAUCAUCAUGUUUUCAAAACUUGCAUCCGUCCCGGCCUCCUCGUUCUCUCCGUUGUCCGUUCUGAGCCCAGACACACUUGCACACGCCCGCGGCAUGUCCGAAAUAGUAUUUUAUAAGUGGCCGGAAAAUGUUCUCGGUAUGGGAUGAGAGUUGACGUGUGGUCUUAUUAUGGUGUAGAUAGACCGCCUGUCAAGUUUCAUCGCAUUCGGAGAUCGUUUGAUGCCCCAACGGAUAACUAUAGCGACAGUAUAGCCGGUCUAACGUCGGACAUUUUCGGUCUCCGGAAACAGUUGCCGGGAUGCACUUCUUCCCUCUCAUCUCAGCCCAACCUCCUCUUCACAGCCCACCAAACCCCACUCCGACCGGAGCCAUCGGAUCGCGAUCGGAGGGUCCGAAAACCCCCCUAAAUCCCCUAACCCUAGCUCUUUUGCUAUAUAUGGAUACCCCCUUGUCCAUUUCAGGCAACGUAGCCUCCCCCUACCCUCAGCCGCCACCUCCCACCUCGUUUUCAGCACCGGCCGCCCCUUCUCCGCCACUUGGCGCCGUCCCUGAGGGUAGAAGACGCCAGCGCCGCCGCUCCUGGCCAUCCAUGAUGCGCCACAUCACCCCUCCAGCGCCCCCAUCCACCGCGGCCCGCUCAGGCCCGUGCAGGGCCUGAGCGCCUCCCGCUUCCUCGCUCCCGAUCUGGUUCGAGGGGAGGAGCCCCUCGAUCCAGAACCCCGCCGUUGUCUCGAUUUGCCUCGCUUCGCCGGCCACCUGAGAUGCUGUCGACGAGCACCAGCAGGCCGUUCCCGCUGCCCUGCUCCUUCCCCAUCUCCUUUCUCCCUUGCUCUUCCUCUACUCUAAGCCAUGCGCUGCCGCCAUUUUUGCAGGAGCCACCGCCGAGCUUGUCGCCGGCCUCCUCGGCCUCGCCCGUCACCGUUGACCGCGUCCGGUGCCGGAUCCGAGCUCCCCACGCGCCGAUCUGCUCGUUCCCGGCCUUCCCCACCUUGCCCCAUCGACGUCCUCGCCAGACCACCGCCGCCGCCACGCCUGUUCCCGCCUCUGCUUCGAGUAGGAGGAGCUCGCCCGUCACCGUUGACCGCGUCCGCAUGGGCUGCGUCUCCGCGGCCCAGAUCCGCCGGCCCACCACCCUGCUCCCCCUUCGGCAUGUUGGCCCGAUGUGAGCAACCCCUCCAGCGCCUCCCCUAUGCACUUCUAGGCCUGCUAGUUUCGGCCCAUGGCAUGUUUUUUUUUUCGUUCUAAGAUUUGUCCAUUUAUCCAGAGAUAACCAGUUUUACAGGAAGCCCCCUAGACUUCAUGCAUUUAAUAACUCCACAACCAUGCAUCGGAUCUAAAUAAAUUAUAUAUGAAACUUGCUUAGAAUUUCAUCUAGUUUCAUAAUAUGCAACUUUCAUCCAUGUUUAACAUGUUUAAAAUGCUGUUUGUUUAAUUUUGCUUAAAUGACUUGCUAAAAUGCUUUAAUUCGUAACUAAAUAACCGUAACUCGGAAUCUAACAAACUUUAUAUGCAAAUGGGGUGGAAUUUUGCCUACUUUAACAUGGUGUACUUGUUUUGCAUGUUUAAUAACUCUAAAAUUGUGUUUAGGGUAGAACAGUACCAAACCUAAUAUAUGCACAUGAGGAUUUACCGGAAUUGUUGUUCGUUGCUUCCGGCCUCUUUUAAACUUGACUAGAUAGGUAGUUUUGUUAUGCUUCACCUCUUGCCAUGUUAACCAACAUUUAAUAUUGUUGUGUACUUAAACGGGAGAGAACUAAAUAAUUGAUGUGGUGUUUUGUCAAUAUGCAUCCUGAUGCAUAUUGAGCUCCACUUAAUUUGUAGGAUUGCUUGUGCACUUUGCCAUGCCAUGCCUCUUUAAACCAGACAUGCAUCAUACUUGUUUGCGCAUCGUGCCAUGAUUAUGUGGUGGUUGUUUACUAUGUUGUUUGCUUCUUUCCGGUGUACUUCUUCUCGGUAAUCCGGUAACGUCGCGUUUGUGAGGACCCGUUCGACUACGUCCGUUUGUCUUCUUCAUGGACUCAUUCUUCUUCCUUACGGGAUUUCAGGCAAGAUGAUCAUACCCUCGAAAUCACUUCUAUCUUUGCUUUGCUAGAUGCUCGCUCUUUUGCUAUGCCAUGCUACGAUGCCUACCACUUGCUUUCAAGCCUCCCAAAUUGCCAUGUCAAACUUCUAACCCACCAUGUCCUAGCAAACCGUUGAUUGGCUAUGUUACCGCUUUGCUCAACCCCUCUUAUAGCAUUGUUAGUUGCAGGUGAAGAUUGAAGUUUGUACCUUGUUGGAACAUGGAGAUGUUGUUCCUUGUUGGAACAUGUUUACUUGUUGGGAUAUCACAUUAUAUCUUAUUUAAUUAAUGCAUCUAUAUACUGGGUAAAGGGUGGAAGGCUCGGCCUUAUGCCUGGUGUUUUGUUCCACUCUUGCCGCCCUAGUUUCCGUCAUAUCGGUGUUAUGUUCCCGGAUUUUGCGUUCCUUACGCGGUUGGGUAAUAAUGGAAACCCCUUGACAGUUCGCCUUGAGUGAAGCUCUUCCAGCAAUGCCCAACAUUGGUUUUACCAUUCGCCACCUAGCCUUUUCUUUUCCCUUGGGGGUCGCGCGCCCAAGGGUCAUCAUUAUUUUACCCCCCCUCCCCGGGCCAGCGCUCCUCUGAGUGUUGGUGCAACUAAGCGAUGUCCGGGCUACCAGGGGCAACUCUGGGCUGGCCUACCCGACGUUUGGCUCAUCUGAGUGUGCCCUGAGAAAGAGAUAUGCGCAGCUCCUAUCGGGAUUUGUCGGCACAUUCGGGCGGUGUUGCUGGUUUAGUUUUACCCUGUCGAAAUGUCUUGUUGUACCGGGAUACCGAGUCUGAUCGGAAUGUCUCGGGAGGAGGUCUAUUCCUUCGUUGACCGUGAGAGCUUGUGAUGGGCUAAGUUGGGACUCCCCUGCAGGGAUUUGAAGUUUCGAAAGCCGUGCCCGCGGUUAUGGGCAGAUGGGAAUUUGUUAAUGUCCGGUUGUAGAUAACUUGAACCUUAACUUAAUUAAAAUGAAUCAACUGCGUGUGUAACCGUGAUGGUCUCUUCUCGGCGGAGUCCGGGAAGUGAACACGGUGUUGGAGUUAUGCUUGACGUAGGUUGUUCUAGGAUCACUUCUUGAUCAUGCUUUUAUCGACCGUGCUUUGCCUUCUCUUAUCGCUCUCAUUUGCGUAUGUUAGCCACCAUAUAUGCUAGUCGCUUGCUGCAGCUCCACCUCAUACCUUUACCUUACCCAUAAGCUUAAAUAGUCUUGAUCGCGAGGGUGCGAGAUUGCUGAGUCCCCGUGGCUCACAGAUACUUCCAAACCAGCUUGCAGGUGCCGAUGAGACCAUGCAGAUGACGCAACCAAGCUCAGGAGGAGCUCGAUGAAGAUCUUGUCCUUUGUGUUGUUUCGUUCUAGUUGAUCAGUAGUGGAGCCCAGUUGGGGUCGAUCGGGGACCUUGUCGCAUUUGGGGUCCUUCUUUUAUUUUGGUUUCGUAGUCGGACCUUGAUUGUAUUUGGGAUGAUGUAAUUCUUUAUUCAUGUAUUGUGUGAAGUGGCGAUUGUAAGCCAACUAUGUAUCUUUUUCCUUAUGCAUUACAUGGGUUGUGUGAAGAUUACCUCACUUGCGACAUUGCUUUUAAUGCGGUUAUGCCUCUAAGUCGUGCUUCGACACGUGGGAGAUAUAGCCGCAUCGAGGGCGUUACAACCUCCUCCACCAUACCAAUACGGCUUGCAAGGUUCUGUAAAGCACUCUUGCUUUUGAGCACUCCAUCCGGCAACUUAUGAAUUUGACACCAUAUCUUCAAUCUGUCCAGCUUGAUUUUUUCAGGGUUUGAAAACCCAUCAUACUCCGCCAUGAUUAGAGCAAAUCCAUGGAAGUCCCAGGGCCCUUGGUGCAUGGCCUUGUUCCAAUCGCCAAGACAAUUGAAUUGAAUCGAGAACAGGUUCGCAUUGAUUCUUCUCCAUACAACGGCCUGGGCAGGGUUCCACGCCGCUUUCAUAUCCCCUAUCAAUGCACUCUGACUGAAACUCUUCCCUGUCAAGAGCCGGCCAAGUGCCAACCACUUCGGUUUAAUCUCAUCAAUAUCGAUCUCAUCUUCCCAAACUAGGUCAUCCGCCUCAUCAUCCUCUAGAUUCAACCUCUCCAAGAUUUUGCUGGUAUCCUCCAUCUGCUGACUACCUGAUCCGCUGCUAUUUCCAUCAGUCGCCAUGCCGAUUCCUCCAAACCUUAGAUCACAGGCGAUUGCUUCACCAGCCACUGCCGCAUGCACAACAAGAGGUAGGGGAAGGUCGCGUGUGGGGGAUUUGUCGGGGAAACAAUGGUAACUCACGGCGGCUACGCCGUAGCCGUCGGAGGACUGGAGAACCCUAGGGACGAAACCUAGGGGGAAAAAACUUCCUAAUGGGGACUGAACAUGUCUUGUCCCAUACACUGUUCACAUCUUGAUUUGUCUUUUUUGUUUCUUGAUGUGUACUUUGAAUUUGGAUCUGAAAUAUUUAUUAAAAAACUACACUGUUCACAUUUACAAAAAAAAUGAUUUUCUGUACCGUUUGAAAUUGAUUGUUCUUUUUUCAAAUUGGGGCCAUGGGAGCAUAUUAGUGAAAGACCUUGACCAUUAAUUGAUUAACAAAAUAUGAUGUACAUGCAUAUAAUUUAGAUCACUAUUUUAGUGACCAAAUCCCUCUCAUAUUUCUUUACAGAGGGAAUACAUCAUAGAAGCUUCUCUUGAAUGGUGAAUCCAAUAACUUUUUUUCCGAACAUGUAACUAACGUCUUCGGCUCGCUUCAGUGUUUGUAGUCGUCGAUAGGUGGUCUACGGAUCUGGAUGUAAUUUUUAUUAUUUCGAGUGUUCAUUGUACUACCAUGAUUGAAGAUGAGUAGAUUGAAAGUUUUUUCCGCAGAAAAAAACUAAUAUUUUGUUGAUCAAAUUACGGAUGAGAAUCCGGAGUAGCUCGUGCUGCUUAGAGAUUUCUUCUAUAAAUAUAUGCUUUCAAGGGCUAGUCCCCUUGUUUUUUCUGAUUGAAAUACAUGCGAGACUUGUAAAUCUGAACCGACCGGAGGGAGUAUGGGAGUAUACAUGUCGUCUAUUUCCAACUCAAUAAAAAAACAUGCUGGCUAUUUAUUUAUUUUGGAAAAUUUCUAAUCUAUUUAUCGUACAAUGAAUACUAAAAAAAUUACAUUCAGAUCCAUAGACCACAUAGUGACGACUACAAGCACUGAGGCGAGUCGAAGGCGCGCCGCCCUCAUCGCUCCUCCAUCGUCGGAGUCGGGCCCAACUUGUUGUAGUAGACAGUCAGAAAGUCGUCGUGCUAAGCCCUGUAGGACCAACGCACCAGAAUAGCAACCGCCGCAGAUGAAAAAUACCGUAGAUCAGAAGGAUCCAACACGAAGACACACAAACGUAGACGAACAACGACAAGAUCCGAGCAAAUCCACCAAUGAUAGAUCCACCGGAGACACACCUUCACACGCCCACCAACGGUGCUAGACGCAUCGCCGGAACGAAGGCUAAACGGGAAGACCUUUAUUCCAUCUUCAAGAAGCCGCCGCCGUCUUGUCUUUCUGAGCAGGACACAAACCCUAACAAAACUAGAAGAAAUCACUAAAAACGAAGCCCUCCUAAUGACCCUUGCCGAGAUCCACCGUGCCCCAUGAUCCUAGGGCCACCGGAGAGGAGGCGGAUUGCAGCAGCACCGGCAGGAGGCAGGAAGCCAGAAACCCUAGCUUUUUUGUGGAGGAGGUGGCGGCUAGAGAUCUAAGCGGAAGUGCACCUGUUGCCUCUGUUUCUUGAUCCUGCACUAACAUGCCGGCUAUUUACCACAUUCCCUGUUAAUAGUCAAUUUAAACUAAGUGGCUACGUCAGCCUGAGAUACAUACAUGCACAAAGCGUGAGCGUGUGUUCGGCAACAUACGCAGCAAACUUAGCAGGCUCAAAAAAUACAAACUGCUCGCCAAGGAGCAGGAAACCUUCUACAAAUUCAAGCCCUGUUUGGAUUAUCAUUUUACUUUGAAAUACCCCUGUAAAAAAUGCAUGCCUUGCCUCGUCAUUCUGUUUCCAGCUCAAAAUUACUCAGUGGCCGGUAUGAUACAGGCGUAAGUUAAACACCUCCGUUUGAUUACACCGUUGACCGUUCCCAAGCGCGCCCUCAGGCUCCACUUGGAACUGUUGUAAUUUUAUACAACUGCAUUUAGCUCACAGGUGUAUAACAGCAGCCACAACUGAUAUCCUAGGUGUGUACCAUAAAUCGGCUGAUUACGAGCCUAAACGAGGAUACAAGCGUAAACAUUACAGGCCUAAUACAAUGAACCAACCACCUCGGCGUUUUCUAACCAGCCAAUGUUUUAAGGAGGGAAAACGAUAUUCCAAGCGGGCUCUCCGUAGCAGCGGAAAACAAGCCACGCGACGGCCAGUCACUUGAACAAUUGUCAAAACGUCACCCUAGAUCCUGCGAUAUUCCCGUGAAGUCAAGGAGUUGCCGAUAAAAUCCUCAUGAGCGUCAAUGGAUGUUUCUUCCUUUUACGCAAUGAAACUUCUCAGCACCGCUUCAAUUUGCUUCUGUGAAAACAUGAGAUAUCCUUUAUAUAUUAGAUCAAAUAUAAACAAAAGAGCGGUAAAUAGGGGCAGUUGCAGUCAUGUACAAGUACAAGAUGUGAGUCCAGAAUGUUUGGAACUAACAACCACACAUUCGGGCUUUAUACUACUGGCUAACCACUUGGCCUUGCAAUAAACCACCAUGUAAAUAGAAAAGAAUGCUGCAGUGGACUGCACAAUCCUUUACCUUUGGACCUUAUACUAGUCAGAUCUGCAAGAUGCCGCAUUGUUGGCCUCCCGUGCGGGCAAUUCCAAGGGGACCUUAGUCCUGUUAGAUUUUUCAGUAUCUGAAGUGCAAAAGCAAACAUUAAUUCAUCGUUUGAAGCAUUACAUCUUUCUGGAUAGUGAGUGGCUGCACAAAUGGACUAAAGCAAGCAUUGGAUUAUGCUUCUGAAAAUACCCAAGUCACAUAAAAACUAAACUAAUACGUGUAUUUUUGAGGAAGGAUCUAUCUAGGUCACCGCAGCCGAAUUUUUGUAAUUACCUUCUUCAUUUCAGUUUUCGUCAGUGGAUCGCCAAUCAUAGUAGACAUUCGGCAAGCCCUCGAAGCAAACAUAGCACGAACCCUCGAAGGGCAAACAGAAUCAGUUUUAUCCAUCUUAUAGCUACUAAUUAUUGAACAGUCACCUUGACUGUCAGAAAGCAUGCAAAUCAGCUCCUUCACAUCUAAAUCAAGAGAAAUGAAAGUAAGUCUACAGUUUUGAGUUUUUUACGAGCGUAAAAUCAGACAUGGUACAACAAUAAGUGAUUACCUUGAACACCAAAUGUAAUAUUUUUACUAAAUGGCACAGCUUUCAAAAGAUAAUGACUGCCAGGAGAAGCAUGCAAAUCUUCUGCUAAAACAAAACCAUUUUUUCUGAAACAAGGUGACAGAAGAAUGUGAGCUACCUAGGAUUUAAUCACCUCCAAACACUAUUAAUUCAAACUAGAAAGAUACAGCGUGUCUACAGGAGGGAUGAAGGACCAUGCGUGAUUCAAGAAUCAAGAUGGUAUGCACUUAUCGAAAAUAAAUACACCUAGCUGGUGCAAUUAAUAAUUUAUCAUGCAUGAAUUGAUAUUUUCAAGAACCAGAUAUAAGCAGAAAACUUUUUUUUUCGAGAAAACGCAAAAAGGCUUUUGCGUUUCAUUAUAUUGAAAAGAGAGAGAUAGUUUGUUACAUCCUCCUAGGAGGCACCAUUACAGGUGAGAAACACAAAGUAACUUCAGUGGACAUCCCAGGUCUGUGGGAGGAUGACACGCAGGCCUCGAGCACCCGCGGUCGCCCAGAGCGCAGCUUCUUCUUUGAUCUUUGCAACCAAGACGCUAGUCGAAGGGGUGGCCGCAUUGAAGACACAAUCGUUGCGAUGCUUCCAGGUCAUCCAAGGGAUCAGCAGCGUCGCGGAUGUAAGUCCUUUGCGCAUCAGCUUGGGCGUGGUCUGCCGCGCCGUGUGCCACCAGGUCGACAGGGAGUUUUCACCAUUAGGCGCGCUGCAAGGAAGGUGCAGCCAAGACAGGAUGUCGUGCCAAAUCUGCUUGGUGAAGGGGCAGUCCAUGAUCAGGUGGUUCAUCGAUUCCGGCAUCUGAUCACAUAGCGGGCAGCGAGGAGGGUGCGGCAGUCCGCGGCGAGCGAGACGAUCAGCUGUCCAACAGCAUCCCAAGCUAGCGAGCCAGUGGAAGAACUUCACUCGCGGGGGGGCCCAGCCUUUCCAGUUAAGUUUCCAUGCCGGGCAGGAAGUAGAGCCAUGGAAGGUGGCGAGGUACGCGGACUGGGCGGUGUAUGUGCCAGCAGCAUUCCACUUCCAAUGGAGCUGGUCUGGAUCAGCAGAGAGAGUGAUAUUCUCAAUGGCCCUCCAGGUUAGCAAGUAUUGGCCAAUCUCUUGAAUGCCAAGGGCGCCAUGAAUGUCUGAAGCCCAUGUGUGCGCCUGAAGGCCAUCGGCCACUGUUCUUAUUUUGCGGCGGCGCUUGGGGAUGAGGGCGUAUAGCUGGGGGGCGAUCUCAGAGAUGGCUUGCCCGUUGAUCCAUCGGUCUUCCCAGAACAAUGCUCGCCGACCAUCGCCAAGGACCAUGGAGGUGGACGCAAAGAAGAAUGCACGUUCCUCACUGGAGAACUGCAGAUCGAGGCCAGCCCAAGCCCUGUUUCCGUCCAUGCGCGCGAACUAGAGCCAUCUGGUGCGCAAGGCAAGGCCCGUGCGCUCCAGGUCAUGGAUGCCGAGGCCGCCUAGGCGUGUAGGGCGGCAGACGCGGCGCCAGUUCACGUGGCAGUUGCCGCCUUGAGCCUCGGUGCGGCCAGCCCAGAGGAAGCCUCUCUGGAUCUUCUCUAGGAGUUUGAGGACUUUCUUCGGCGGCGCGAGCACAAGGAGUUGAUGCAGGGGAAUUGCACAGAGCACGGAUUUGACAAAAGCGAGGCGUCCAGCCUUGUUCAUGAGGUGCGCCUUCCAAGUGGGCAGCUUCCCGGCAGUCUUGUCGACGACGGGUUGUAGUUGGGCGGCAGUCGGGCGUCGCAAGGUGAGGGGGAUACCCAGAUAGGUGAUGGGGAACUGCGCGAUGGGGCAUCCCAGCGUCGCGAUGGCCGGAGCGACCUCCUCGUCUGCGCAACGAAUCAUCGUGGCCGUGCUCUUCUGGAAGUUUACCCGCAGGCCUGAAGCUCUGCCAAAAAGCUGCAGGAUCUCUCUGACCGCCAACGUGUCGCUAGGCGAGGGGUGGCAGAAGAGGAUGACGUCGUCGGCAUAAAGCGAGAUGAUGGGGAUCGCACGACGGGGGUGCAGCUGUUGCAGGAUGUUGAGCUCGGCAGCCUGGCGAAACAAGCGCCCCAACGUGUCGACAGCAAGCACAAAGAGCUGCGGUGACACCGGGUCGCCCUGGCGGAGUCCACAUCGAUGCCAGAUCGCCGGGCCAGGCGCGCCAUUUAGGAGGACCCGGGUGCUGGCCGACGAGAGCAGGAUGGCGAUCCAGCCGAGGAAGCGAUCACCGAACCCAUAUCGACGCAAGGCCUCGAAGAGGAAGGGCCAUGAGACGGAGUCGAAGGCGCGGGUGAGAUCAAGCUUGAGGAGGAUGCGCGGAGUUCCCAGCUGGUGGAGGAGGCGCGCCGACUGUCGCACGAUCAAGAAGUUGUCGUGGAGGCUGCGUCCGGGGAUGAAGGCGUUCUGGAUGGGACUGAUCAAGUCAUUCAGCUUGGGCGCGAGGCGGAGAGAUAACACCUUCGCGAAGAUCUUGGCGACGAGGUGGAUGAGGUUGAUGGGCCUGUAGUCAAACAGGCUGGCAGCGUCGGCGCGCUUUGGGAUGAGCGUGAGCAGUGCCUGGUUCAGACAACUGAAACCUCGUCCACGGAGCGAAUGAAGCUGCUGGAAGGCGCAGACAAAGUCGUGCUUGACGACGGGCCAGCAGGAUCGAAGGAACUCCGCGGUAAAGCCGUCAGGGCCGGGCGCCUUGCGCGCCGGCAGGCGUUUGAUGGCUUGCCAAAUCUCAUCUUCAGUGAAUGGGGCCUCCAGGUCGUCGAGGGCGGCCGGCUCGAUGAGAUGCUGCAGGUCAAGGGCGCAAUCUCGAGGUCGAUCGGUCCCGAGCAGAGAAUCGUAAUGCGCGAAGGCCGCCGCGGCCAUGUCAGUCUGGUCGGUGAGCAUGGCACCGUCAACCGACAGGGAGUGGAUCCUGUUCUUCUGCUUGCGAUAGGUGCACUGGCGAUGGAAGAAGGAUGUGUUGGCGUCGCCGUCUUUGAGAGAAGAGAUGCGCGCGCGCUGUCGAGCCAGAGUUCGCUCGAGCGAAGCGAGGCCAAGGUAUGACAGCUUGAUCUGUCGGCGGAGCCAGUCCUCGUGGGGCAUGAGCUGGCGAAGCUCCUGGGCCGAGUCAAGACGCAGGAGCAGCUCGCGCGAGAUCGCGAGCUGGUCGCGGAUGUUGCCCACGGCGCGAGCGCUCCAGCUCGUGAGUCUGCGUGCGGUGGCCUUCAUGCGCCACAUUAUGCGGCGGAACGGGCUCGGGUCGUCCACCGAAAUCCAAGCAGCCGCAACCACGUCUUGGAAGCCGGCAAUGCGCGUCCAGUAUUCCUCGAAUUGGAAGCGCCGGUGCACCGGGGGCGAGGGCGAGCAGUCCAGCAUGAGCGGGCUGUGAUCAAAUACAACCGAGGCAAGGCAGCGAAGGUGGCACUUGCCGUGUCGCUCCUCCCAAUCCGCGGUGCAUAGUACUCGGUCGAGGUGAACCAGCGUGGGCGGGGUCUGCUCAUUUGACCAUGUGUAUCGUCGACCAUUGAGGUAAACCUCCUUAAGCGCGAGGUCGUUGAUAACACGACGGAAGCGCCCCAUCAUGCGUCUGUUAGUAUUCCCGUUGUUCUUGUCUUCGUCGCGGUAGAUCAAGUUGAAGUCUCCGCAAAGCAUCCAAGGGUCGUCGCAAUUAGCACGGACGUCGCGGAUUUCCUGAAGAAACGCGAUCUUCUCCUGGUCCUGCUGCGGCCCAUAUACAAUGGUCAGCCACCAGGGGGCGUCAACGCUCGAUGGAGUCGAAACCUGGGUAGUGAGCGUGUUGGGGCUGAACAUGUGAUUGUCAACAAUCACCAUCCUGCUCUUCCAGGCCAGCAGGAUACCGCCGCGAGUGCCAAUCGCCGGCAGGUAAACAUAGUCAUCAAAGUCCGAACCAAGCGUUUCGAGGACAGUGGACAUGUGGAUGACUCCAUCUUGGUUUCCUGGAAGCAGAAGAUCGACACGUCGGUAGACACGAUCAGCGAGCGAAUGGCGGUGCGCCUAGCGCGGGUGUUUAGUCCGCGCACAUUCCAGACAAUAAUCUUCAGGCCAUAAUCCAUAAAAGCAUGAUCGACACAGGGGGCACAAGCGCACAGCUAGGCCUCGAUCGGCCUGCCAGCGAUGACCGUAGUAACCGGUGCGACAGAGGGGUCGGCGGGAAGCUCGCGCCCAACUAGUGCCGCAAUGGCCGCAAGGACAGUCUUGGGGAUCGGCGCGGCAAAGAUGUCAUCAUAAGCUUUCAUGGCCUCCGAGGUGAUCGCCUGAUCCACGUCAACGAUGCCGAGCGUGCGCAGUAUUUGCACCUGCGUGCGGCGUGCGGCAGUGGGCGGUGCCCCGGUCUUCGUCUUGGCCGCGGUGGCUAAGCGCCCGCGCCGAGGUUGGGCGAAGCUCAGCGGCUGUCUUCUCGGUUUACGGCCCGGAGCAGGGAGGACCGAGCUGAGCUGCCUGGUGGCCGCGGCGAGAAAGUCGCCAAGGGUCCAAGAGCUUGUCGAGGGGGCACGCGGGCGGCUGCGGCGGAGCGUGACAGGGGGGACGCGAAGCGUGUCGCACUUCCGAUGGUCGGCGUUGGCGUCUGGACUACAUCUUCAUCCAAUGGGCCGUCAGCGAGAGGGCCGGAGGGCGGUGGCCUGGGGAGUCCAGGUUUUGGGGCCUUUGAAGGAUCUGCAGUUGUGUGUGGGCCGCUCCAGGGCUUGCAGGCUGGCCAUCAGGCGCAUCAGCAGUCGGAGCAAUCAGCUGGCCAUGGGUUGGCGGCUGGGCGGCACCAGGUUGGAAAUCACGCGCGUCUGCCCGCGUGGAUAGAUCAGCAUGUGGUGCGGCGGCGGUAGGCGCUGAUGUGCACGAACUGACACCUUGUCCCGACAAAGGGUCAUCAUCCACUGUGUCGACGGGCGGCGCCAUUGGUUGGGGGUCCAGGACCGCGCUGCAGGUGUGCUCAACAACAGUCGUCGUGCCCACCAGGUCGCUAGGCNNNNNNNNNNNNNNNNNNNNNNNNNNNNNNNNNNNNNNNNNNNNNNNNNNNNNNNNNNNNNNNNNNNNNNNNNNNNNNNNNNNNNNNNNNNNNNNNNNNNNNNNNNNNNNNNNNNNNNNNNNNNNNNNNNNNNNNNNNNNNNNNNNNNNNNNNNNNNNNNNNNNNNNNNNNNNNNNNNNNNNNNNNNNNNNNNNNNNNNNNNNNNNNNNNNNNNNNNNNNNNNNNNNNNNNNNNNNNNNNNNNNNNNNNNNNNNNNNNNNNNNNNNNNNNNNNNNNNNNNNNNNNNNNNNNNNNNNNNNNNNNNNNNNNNNNNNNNNNNNNNNNNNNNNNNNNNNNNNNNNNNNNNNNNNNNNNNNNCGAUCUUGUCGGGGGAGUUGGCACCCGUGGUUGGGGGCCAGCAGGGGAAGCGACAUGCACAGAUGGGGCAGCGACAUGCGUGUCCCCCUGCUGAGGCGAUCUUGUCGGGGGAGUUGGCACCAGUGGUUGGGGGCCAGCAGGGGAAGCGACAUGCACGGACUCCCGCUGAGGCGAUCCUGUCGGCCUGGGAUCUGCUGCCGCCGCAGCCUUGGCGAGCGCAGUCUCCUUUCUUUCAUGCUUUUUCUUUCCUCCCCUCUUUCCUCUUUUAGCUUUGUGACGAGAGGGGUGGCCCUGGGUGCAGGCGGUGGGCCAGGCGUCCAUACAUCGGGCCGGCGACGGUACGGGAGGUGGCGUGUCUGCGCGCACGGCGGUGCAGACUCCGGACCAGCGAUCGGCGACGGCGAGGCCGUCAGCGCGGUGCUGGCCACGGAGGUGCGUCCAGCCGGCAGUGUCGACAGCCAUGCCGUCGGCACGUCCCUCCUGAGCAGCGGCAGUGCGGCGGCGCUUGCGGCCGCGGCGACGCGAACAGCCGCGUCCGGGGCCCUAGCCGGCAUCAACAUCGCCAUCAGCCGCCGCGCGCCCGUCACCCGCGCCAUCUGGGCGAGCUGCAUGACUGGAGGGGGCGCGAGCUCGGUCGACGUCGGAUCGGGCAAGGGCGAUGGCGAUGGGGUACAUGAGGGUGGUGACUGUGGGGGCGGAGGAGGCGGUGCGUCCCGGAGUGACCUCGACGAUUUCCAGCGUCGCAGCGCGGCGGAUGUCGGCAGGGUCGUGCGCGCGACCAGAGAGGCGGAACGUGGCCAGGUCGGCGCGGGAGCGCGUCUGCGGAUGGAGGCGCUCAAUCCAGACACCGGUCCCGAGGAUGUGCUCCGCCGUCGCUAAGUGCCAGGCAUGGGCGGGGAUGCCGCGGAGCUCGAGCUCGACGCGGUAUUCGAACCCACCGGAGCCGGCGUGGGCAAGUUUGCACCAUGGGCGAAGCGACAGUGAGAAGCGCGAGCAGCGGAUGUAGUGGUCGCCGUUCAUGCGGUCCUUGGAGGCGCGGGAGCCGAUGAUGAUCAGGAAAUCUUCCGGCUUGUGGAGGUGGGUGGUGAAGUCGCCUUCUUCAAAGCCGAACGUGGAGUAGAGGAGCUCAGCGACGUCGUCGGCGGACACCUGGGGACGAGUCCCAGUGAUGGUGGCCACCAUCGCCCGGCUGAGCACCUCCUCCGCUUCCUCCAUCUCAACGGUGCGCGACAUGAUGAUACGCGCUGGUGCAGCAGCGUUCACGUGCGCGACCGGAGCUGGGGCCGGUGGUUGGGGGGCGACCUGCACAACCGGAGCAGGAGCCGGUGUUUGGGGCGCGGCAGUCCGCAGGGCGGCGGGGGGGUCGCGGCCGGCGUGGUGCUCAGCAGCCCUUGGGGCGGCGGGUGGAACGCGCCCAGCGCGGCGGUGGAAGUCGUCACAUCCACGGGAGUCGUGGCCGGAGAUGAGGCACCGCCGGCAGCGAAUGUCAUUGGUGCAGUCGCGGACGCGGUGGCGGGGGUCGAGGCAGCGAAAACAGAGCCCGGCAAGCUCUUCGGGGGACGGGUGUGCUGGCGCCGCGGCGACGGGCUCUGCGCAGGCUCGCGGCGAGGCCGACGUCGAUUCCUGCGACGCGGUUGCUGGUAGCCGUCGGCGUCCACNNNNNNNNNNNNNNNNNNNNNNNNNNNNNNNNNNNNNNNNNNNNNNNNNNNNNNNNNNNNNNNNNNNNNNNNNNNNNNNNNNNNNNNNNNNNNNNNNNNNNNNNNNNNNNNNNNNNNNNNNNNNNNNNNNNNNNNNNNNNNNNNNNNNNNNNNNNNNNNNNNNNNNNNNNNNNNNNNNNNNNNNNNNNNNNNNNNNNNNNNNNNNNNNNNNNNNNNNNNNNNNNNNNNNNNNNNNNNNNNNNNNNNNNNNNNNNNNNNNNNNNNNNNNNNNNNNNNNNNNNNNNNNNNNNNNNNNNNNNNNNNNNNNNNNNNNNNNNNNNNNNNNNNNNNNNNNNNNNNNNNNNNNNNNNNNNNNNNNNNNNNNNNNNNNNNNNNNNNNNNNNNNNNNNNNNNNNNNNNNNNNNNNNNNNNNNNNNNNNNNNNNNNNNNNNNNNNNNNNNNNNNNNNNNNNNNNNNNNNNNNNNNNNNNNNNNNNNNNNNNNNNNNNNNNNNNNNNNNNNNNNNNNNNNNNNNNNNNNNNNNNNNNNNNNNNNNNNNNNNNNNNNNNNNNNNNNNNNNNNNNNNNNNNNNNNNNNNNNNNNNNNNNNNNNNNNNNNNNNNNNNNNNNNNNNNNNNNNNNNNNNNNNNNNNNNNNNNNNNNNNNNNNNNNNNNNNNNNNNNNNNNNNNNNNNNNNNNNNNNNNNNNNNNNNNNNNNNNNNNNNNNNNNNNNNNNNNNNNNNNNNNNNNNNNNNNNNNNNNNNNNNNNNNNNNNNNNNNNNNNNNNNNNNNNNNNNNNNNGGCGGGGCUGGUGGAGAGGGGAGCUAGGGGAGCGGGAGGGGCGCUAGGAGCGGAGCCAUCACGCUAUAAGCAGAAAACUUCCCCUUGAAGAACAAAACAACAACAGAUGUAUGGAUAUCAUAGGUUAUGUGUUACUCCCUCCGGUUAAGUAUUAGCUGUCUAGGUAAAGUCAAACAAAAAUAUUUGGAUCAGAUAAUUGAAAGCACAUGUAUAUAUUAGUCUCGGCAAGUGCUUUCGCAGAAUGUAUUUUUACUAUGGAUGUCCGGAAAUCUGUUUCAUGUAGCUUGGCAAGGAAAUUUUGAAUCAUGGAUACCACUUUUAACGGGUUUCAUAACAAUGGUCUUGAUAGAAAUAAUAGUCAAAUUUGUAGUUUGAAGACCAUGCCCAUGUCCAAAACAACAGCUUUUGGGGAAGAAACAGUACUUCACAUGUUCUUUGAAGAACCAUAUACUGAAUUUAACUAUAACCAAACAUCUGUCAAACAGGCAACUGAUGGUUACUGCAUUAAAGACUACACAUUUCAAUAUUAAAGUUGUUAGAUACUUAGAUCCACGUUUUGAGCAGUCAGAACCGAAGUAGUAGGACAAAAGGAAAUGUACCUGAUAGUGUUCAUGUGCAUAGAUACGAUAACUUCUUCCUCCGGUGAAAGUUCAAGUCUCAGUGGCCUAGCGUUAGAACACAAUCAGAAACCCUCCUCCAAUGCAAGAGAAAAAAAAUGCUACGGAAGGUAUGGAUAAACGUGGACAUUGUAAAGUCAUUCCUUGAACUACCCUACCAUAACCAUUCAGGCCUCCUUUGGUUCAUAGGAUUGGAAAAUCAUAGGAAUAGGAAAGUCAUAGGAAAUGAGAUGACAUGCAUCUCAAAUCCUAUGCAUAGGAAUAGAAAAAGAGAUGCCCUUUGAUUCACACCAUAGGAUUUUUUCCAUUGAGUCUAGGCUAAUGUUUGUUUUCCUAUGAAAUGUGGAGGAUAGGAAGAAUUCCUCCAUAGGAAUAGGAUUUCAUUCCUACAAACCAAAGAGCUCUGAAGGAAUUUUUCCUAUAGAAAUCCUAUCCUAUGAAAAUCCUAUAAAAUUCCUCCAAACCAAAGGAGGCCUCACUUGUUGAUGUUAUUUUUGCCAAGGCAAGUACCCCCUUGGGGGACCAAUUUCCUUUGGUUUGGAGGAAUUUUGUAGGAUUUUCAUAGGAUAGGAUUUUUAUAGGAAAAAUUCCUUCAGAGCUCUUUGGUUUGUAGGAAUGAAAUCCUAUUCCUAUGGAGGAAUUCUUCCUAUCCUUCACAUUUCAUAGGAAAAUAAACAUUAGCCUAGACUCAAUGGAAAAAAUCCUAUGGUGUGAAUCAAAGGGCAUCUCCUUUUCUAUUCCUAUGAAUAGGAUUUGAGAUGCAUGUCAUCUCAUUUCCUAUGACUUUCCUAUUCCUAUGAUUUUUUAAUCCUAUGAACCAAAGGAGGCCUUGGUGUUGAGAAGUUCCAUGUACAGAAUAACACAUGAAAAUAAUGGGGCUUGUUUACUCACUGAAGAAGAGGCUGUAUGUUUAACGUUGUUGACUGUGACAGGCUCUCAAAGUUGUACUUCUCAUCAGCAGCAUGCUUGAGAACAUAAAAAAAAACCGAUAUGAGGUACCUUGCGGGGUGCUACUCAUAUAUCUUGGGAUUUGUAUAAUGGUGUCACUGUUACACUGAAAAAUAUGUAGAUGUACCUGAUCUACAAUAAAUAGGUCUUGUUCCAGCUUUCCGAUGAUAAAACCGAGAUUAAACUGCCCAACAACCUGAAGAUGAGAUAGUUAGUAUCCUAAGAAAUAACUGCAUAUAACACAAUGCUUUGAAUAUUGCCACUUGUUUUACAAGAACGAUGACUGUCACAUUCGAGCAAAUAAACAACAAGGCCAUAACAACAGAUUUCUUGAAAGUAAAGUCCACAUCUGCAAGGUGCUUGUAAAAUUGUAACAGCAACAUGACCCUAUGGUACUUGGCAGUUGCCUUGAACAGGAACAUACUACAAUUCCAAUAGAUCAAGUUCUCUCUCGAUACAACUCCAAUAAAUCAAGUUCUCUCUGGAUACUACAAUUCCAACAUCUGCAAGGUGCUUGUAAAAUUGGAACAGCAACAUGACCCUAUGGUACUCAGCAUACUACAAUUCCAAUAGAUCAAGUUCUCUCUGGAUACAACGUAUGGCAAAUUCUAUGUAUGGCCACUCCAAAAGCACCGAUUGGACAUAAUAUCCAAUUUCACAAAUCAUGAUUGCUAACAUCCAUUAUGGCUCCUCCCAAUUACUGAGUGCAUCAGAACUGUUUUAACAUGUCAUUUCAGAAAAGAAAAACUAAUCUUGCAAGGAAACUAGGCACAGUCAUCACCGUUCACCUAAGACUCAUUCAUCAGGCAAAUGGUUUAACAAAUAUAAUGUUAUAUGGAACCACUGAAAGAAAAUGAGAAUAUUAAGAACAUGGAGCUAUUUCAAGAACCUUCAUUUCUCCAAAAUUAUCUUUGCUGAAAAACCUGUCCAGCUCAUUGGUGGCUGCAGCUAAAUAAUUAGAUUUUCCCUCGUCGUCAUUUGGUACAUAAUUAUCCAGUGUUGCGGCUUUAUAACACCUAGGUGAAGACAAUUAAAGUAGUCAAAAACCAAACUCCUGAUGGCAAAAGAACUUGUUUAUAACAACAGCAUACGUGUUACCUUGCAGUUUUCUCAGAACAAUGGACUCUGUUUUCACGUGAUACAAUAAAACCGCGUUUUCUUCUUCUCCUAAGCUCAUCAAUUGUAAACUGCACUGAAUAAGAUACUGAUGUAGAGCACACCGAAGUGUCAUUAUCAUGACCAUCAAGUAAAGUUAUAUUGGACGGUGUAUUUGGGGGUUCGGUAUCCUUCAAACAUUGAUCGGGAGCACCAAAAUUUGAAAGGCAUCGAUCAUUCUGUUCAUCCUGCAUUGCAGCAUUCAUUAUAUAAUCUAUCCCACUGAACACAUCUCAAAAACAACUGAUUUGCGCCAAAACACAGCUUAGCUAAUCAGAGAAACUAAGGAGUUGUCGAAAAUGCCAGAAGUAGAUUCAUGAUUAUUGAACUGCAUGCACCAAAUCAAUUCACCCAAAAGCUUAAACUGAUGGAGAAAAGUGGGCAAUAUAUUUCCCUAUCUCGACAUGGUAUCAACGUGGGUUGCAACUAUAUUUAUUAAUAGCAUUUUGGCCGGGUCUUGAACUCAAUAUCUCUUGGCUCUGAUUACCAAAUUGAAUUGCAUGCACCUAACCAUUUCACCCAAAAGCUUAAGCUGAUGGGGAGAGACGGGCAAUAUAUUUCAAAAAUGAUGCCUAUAACUCACUAACAGUUCAAAAGUUCACUGUGAACUUCAUAAUACAAUUUUAGAAGGCAGAGAUACUUAAGAAGAGUGCUACAAAGCAAACAGUUAAAGGCAAGUGGAAGAAGAGAAACAAAAAUAAAACAAUAUUGGCAGCAGUAGUCUAAUCUCCUCCAGAAAUCUGACUGACAGAACCGUCUCACUGCAAAAUUAAAUCAGCCUUACCACAUCAAAUUCUGUACUGUGGACAUCACAUGGAUUGAGGAGAUGCGCUUCAGUACUAGGAGACGCAACAUUAGGUGGUUCAGAAUGCUGUAAUGAAACUUCUGUCCUCUUAGGUACAGAAGGUUGUGGAGAAUGAUCCCACAGGCUAAUUUGCUGAAGUGAGUUGGCAUCUGAAAUACCAGGUGCAUUUGCUUCUAAACUUGUUCUUCUCACUUGCCCUGAGCAUGUACCUCUUCUCAGCACUGGAGCUUCAGUACUAGGAGACCCAACAUUAGGUGGUUCAGAAUGCUGUAAUGAAACUUCUGUCCUCUUAGGUACAAAAGGUUGUGGAGAAUGAUCCCACAGGCUAAUUUGCUGAAGUGAGUUGGCAUCUGAAAUACCAGGUGCAUUUGCUUCUAAACUUGUUCUUCUCACUUGCCCUGAGCAUGUACCCCUUCUCAGCACUGGAGCUUCAGUAAUAAGAUUGCAACUGUCUUCAUGCUUCCUCUUGUUUAGUGAUAGAAAGUUCAUAAGAGAAGACUGAACAAUAGUUGAAGGGGAGGAUUGAGCAGCAAGCCCUGUUCUAACAUGAUUUUCUCUUACUGGAUUACUUCUAAAAUCAGCACGGGGUCUUUUUGGCUGCUCAUACCGCAAUGCUGAAAACCAAGGAGAUCUAUCAACCUCAGUGUCUGGGCUCCUUGGCAAGGGGCUCAUGUCUCCAGAUGCAGCUCCAGUGGCUACCCUUGUCGCAGAAGAACUUACUUUCUGAUCCUUCAGUGGGUCCUGAUCAUCACUAUCUGUGUCUUCCUUGCAGUUAUCAUUUUCAGGCGAUGAAACAUUUUCCUUGUCCAUUAAAUAUGUGCUUUUAAUAGGUUCAUCAACCAUAGGGUCAUCUUCCUUUACAGGAUCUUCAGUGUGAUUGACCUUUUCAGGAUCUUCAAUGUGGUUGAUGGAAAAACUGCACUGUUGAGGGCUGUACAGAUUUUCAAUAGCCUCCCGUAAAGAAAACAAAAUAGUAUGCUCGGAUGAGAAGAAAAUUUUCCUCUUAUCAGGUGCGACAUUCACAUCAUAAGAUGUGGUUGGGAUGCAAAAAUUUAGGACAGCCACAGGGUAUUGCCUGGAAUUGGAACUCCUGUACAGUUCAUUAACAAGUUUGGUGACCUUUGGCAUGUCCACGGGUCUGCCAUUUACAUAGAAGAAUUGUCUAUCUCCUGAAUUGCGACCAGUGCCCGGUCCAGGCUUGGAAAGGAAACCUUCUACCUGACAGCCCUCAGAGAGGGCCAGGUUGAAGGGCUCCAGGCAUUUGAAAGUGUUCAAACCAAAGACCGUAAUGAUAUUGUCCUUCAGUGAACUGCUUCCUUGAGUUUUAACCACCACCAUUUUAGAAUUCUUGCCCACAGUAUUUGUGCAAAGUAAUCUGACCCCUUUGGCAAUUAAGGCGUAAGCCUAAAGCAGGAAAGACCAGACAAUUAGUAAUGGAAGAUUAUAACAACAAAAAAGAAGUACUCCCUCCGUUCUUUUUUAUAAGACGUUUCAAACAGCUGAGAUUGAAAUGUCUACAACGUCUUAUAAUAGUGAACAAAGGGAGUAAGUUUCAGCAUCUAUCAUAAUAAAACAUCCUACUGUGAGAAGCAAAACGUCAAGAUAAAUAUGAUUAAGCAGAACAGUUAGGCUUCAACAUGCAAAAAUUAAUAAAUUUGCAUGUAGCACUUGCAAAGAAAUACAGAAAACAGGAUGUGAAACUCACAUGUAGCAAGGAGAUGACUUUCCCGUACUCCUUCCUGAUAUUCCUACUAAACUCCUUGCCCCGAACCGGCAAGGUGGAGAAGAGUUUCUCGAUGGUUACGGUGGUCCCGACUUGCCGUGCAAUCUUCCUCUCACUGAUCACCACGCCCGAGUGCUCAAACUCCAAAUGUGUGCCGACCGACUCAUCUUUAGUCCUUGUCUCGACCGUCAGUUUCCCCAAUGCACAGAGGGAGCUCAACGCCUCCCCCCGGAACCCGAAGGUGACCACGGAGUUGAGAUCGGAGAAAUCCGAUAUCUUGGACGUGUGGUGCUUCAGAGCGAGUGCCUAAGACGGUGACGGGACGGCAGCAGCAUGGUACGGUCAGCAACCAAUGGCAGGCCGGAAAAGGACAGAGGAUGCAGAGAUUAGAAAUGAGGGGUUGCGUUUGUGCGUGCCUGGAAAUUGCCGGGCGAGAUGCCGCUGCCGUUAUCGGCGACCUUGAACCACUCCUCGCCGUAGGCCUUGAGGCCGACCUCGACGGUGGUGGCGCCGGCGUCGAGGCUGUUCUCCACGAGCUCCUUCACUGCGGAGGAGAGGUCGAAAAUGACUUGGCCGGAGCAAAUCCGGUGCACCACUGUUUUGCCGAUAGGCUUUAUCGCCGGCGAGGCUCCUCCCAUCCCCACUAAACCAGUAAACCCUACCGCAGCUCGACCUCGAGACGAGGGUUUCGUUCCUCCUCCUCCUCCUCCUCCUCCUCCUCUCUCUCUCUCUCUCCCUUGCGCGCUACGGGCAGAGACCGGCCGGGCCACACUGCCACAGUCGUCCGUCUGCCUCUCAGUUGGGCCUAGGUGUGGGCUUCACCGGGACUCUGGACUCCUUUUUUUUUCGAAACACCGAGUCUGGACUCCUAUGUACCCGCUCGCCGCGGCAGAAUGCCGAGCAAAUGCACAUAGCGAAUGCAGCUCGGCCGGCCCAUCUUGCGGUCGCGCCAGCGACUGUGGCGAUAGCGUUUGUCUCUGUUUUUUUUUUGCUUUUGCUACUUUUCAUUUGCUGUUUUCUCUUUAUUAAUUUGUAUUUCCUUUUUUGUUUGUUUUUUAUUCCAUUUUGUUCUUUUAAAUACAUGUUGAAUAUUCUCUCAAAAAUUGCAAGAACAUUUUUCUAAAACUAAUGUGAAUAUUUUUCAAACACAUGUUGAACUUUUUCCAAACACAUAUUGAAAUUUUUCCAAACACAUAAUAAACAUCUUUAGAAUACACGGUGAACAAUUCUUAAACAUGCGGAGAAAUUUUUUCAACCCAUGGUGAAGAUUUUUUUUAAUUCAUGAAUAUUUUUCCCAAAUUUGUGAACAUGGUGGACAAUCAAUUAAUCAGCAAGCAUUUCUGAGAGUUGUUAAUAUUUUAUGAACAUUUUGAAAAUGCAUGACAUUUAAAAAAAUCUUGAUGCACAUAUUUUUGAAAUAUGAAAGCUUGUAAAAAAAUGCCUGACCAUUUUUUAGCUUCACGGAUAUUUUACAAAAAAAUAUGCAUUUUUUAAAGAAACAUGAAAAAUAUAAGUGCUUUUCCAACCCAAACAUGCUAAAAACUUAAACAGGAAAAAAAGGUUUUUUCAAUGCCAAUGUACACACUGCUAUUAUGUAACACGGGACAAAUCAUAGUUUUGCUAAAACAGAGCAGACCAUGUGCUAGUUGAAUAAAAUCAAGGAGUCACUAACAAGCGGGAAAUAAAACAUCUAUUUUGUAUUUUAAGUAUAAAUAAUAGCUGGAAAUAAAAGUACAUGGAAAUAAGAUUUUAGAUUUUUUUUAUUGAAAGUGCAUCUAGUCCUUCCUAGUGGGUUUUGAUGACUAAUUACAAAUCAUUAAGGGAUUAGUGUGUUUAAUGAGUAUACAUGUGAUGUUUAUUGAACCUAGACUAGAGACGUCGAUCACUAAAAUUGUGGAGAGCAUGAAAUACAUGGUUUGUCUCCCAGAGAUUUAGUGGAGAUUUUAUAGCUUUCAGUGCCUCAGUGAGUCGCUUGAGUUUUAAGAGUGAGUAUAAUAAGGUGAUGUAAGCGGGAUAUAAGGGUUUGAAUAUCAUAUUAUUGUUGAGUUGAAAGAGAUAUAAAAUAAGCAGGUCAUAGAUUAAGUGUCAGUUAUAACGGGGAUUUCAAGGAACUUUAUGAGAAUGCAAGGUGUGCUAUGUGUUCACAAAGUAGUACUACGUCUCUCUAGGUUUAUUAGUCCUUAUCGUAUUUUGGGUCAAAGCUUGACCAUAUAUUUGAUUAGCAAAAAAUUAAUGCAUGCCACAGAUAAAUAAUAUUAUGGAAUUUGAAUUUGAAGGUAAUUUUCAAUGAUAUUAUUUUUUAUACAUAUAACUUAUAUUUUAUAUCAGUUAAAAUCAUGGUGGAAAUAUGAUUCAAAAUACGACGGGACCAGUAAAUCAGGACGGAGGAAGUACUUCUUGAACUUCUAUGCAUGUUGGAUAUUAGAUUGGCUAUAAAUGAUAUGGCAACAUUAUAUAGGCAACAACUGACUUACAACCAUGCUCUAAGGCAAAAAAAGGUGCAUACACGUCAAAUCUCAUAUCAAUAGUGUAAUUUACUAGCAUCCUUUUACUUUUCGGACAAGGAGAAAAUAAAAAGAUGGAUUGGUAGCAUUUAGCAAGGUAGUCAUCACAUCCAAACCAACCAAAUAAUUGAUCCCAAUGUGAAGUUUACAAACAAGGGGUAGAAAAAUGCGAUAGGGCCCAAAACAUGUAGGCUAGUAGCAUUUCGGUAACACGGCACAAUUGAUCAGUUCCAACACGCGUGAGGAUGGAACUUUGGUCUCUGUUCUCAGAAGCAGGCGUCCAAGAGACAACAGCAGCAAAGCGCGGCCAGGCUGUUGGAACAAUAUCAUAAGAGAAUCAUGAGAUAUAAUCAAGGCGAGUUUCUAAACAAAGAAAAAAAAAGAAGAAAAUUACUAAAUCGACAAUAAUUAAUACGAAUCAAAAGGAUUGCUAUAACCACAUAUCCAAAUGUUGACAGAUUUGUACAAAACGAAGAUUAUACAACUGAGAAGUGGGUUCGUUCCACCUUACAUUCUUGUUCUUUUAUUGUAAAGACUAGUACUCCCUCAGUUAAUACUGAUGUUCAUAUUAGGCAUGAUAUUAAUUAUUGAAGGGUGCUAAACAUGUUUAACACUGAACACCGGAGUGACUUAAACCAUUGGAU